GUCCCUUUCGUCUAGCGGUCUAGGACACUGCCCUUUCACGGCAGCAACAGGGGUUCAAUUCCCCUAAGGGACA
This 73-nucleotide transfer RNA is filed under the name Buchnera aphidicola (Periphyllus lyropictus). RNAcentral's name for it is "tRNA-Glu". It matches the Rfam family "tRNA". From Rfam's summary of the family: Transfer RNA (tRNA) molecules are approximately 80 nucleotides in length. Their secondary structure includes four short double-helical elements and three loops (D, anti-codon, and T loops). Lineage: Bacteria; Pseudomonadati; Pseudomonadota; Gammaproteobacteria; Enterobacterales; Erwiniaceae. The record is from RNAcentral.